UACGUAGGGCGCAAGCGUUAUCCGGAAUUAUUGGGCGUAAAGAGCUCGUAGGCGGUUUGUCGCGUCUGCUGUGAAAUCCCGAGGCUCAACCUCGGGCUUGCAGUGGGUACGGGCAGACUAGAGUGCGGUAGGGGAGAUUGGAAUUCCUGGUGUAGCGGUGGAAUGCGCAGAUAUCAGGAGGAACACCGAUGGCGAAGGCAGAUCUCUGGGCCGUAACUGACGCUGAGGAGCGAAAGCAUGGGGAGCGAACAGG
Molecule: ribosomal RNA, 253 nt
Filed under: uncultured bacterium
Lineage: Bacteria
Description: partial 16S ribosomal RNA
Rfam family: Bacterial small subunit ribosomal RNA
Source: RNAcentral